CUGGUGUUCAGUGGGAAACUGGCCCUUUUAAAAUUAUUUUGUAAAGACAGACUACAUGAUGAUUUUAUUUAAUGAUUUAAUAAAACCUUUCCUCCUGAGAUAGAUGCGAGAAAUCUUGCUGAUCUAUUACUACUGCUACCCGAGCACAGAAGUGCAGUUAUGUAUGAUACAGCAAUGCUAAAGCUAUACACAAAAAAUUAAUAGUAUAUCAGAACGAAGAUCUUACCCUAGCUGGAAAGCUGAUUAGGCACCAGGAAGGUUUCCCACACUGGGGCAAACAUGCUGCUCACUUGGGUCCAGGUCAGUUCCUCUCUGCUAGAGAAUGUCUCAGGAGAAACCUGUCCUGGACCUUGCUGGUGCUCACCCAUGUCCUGUUUGCAUGUAUUUGCACUCUCAGCCUUGACUGCUUCUUUUCAGUUUUCUGAAAGAAGUAGAGAUAGACAUGUUUUAUGGGAUUAGUGGUGAUCUCUCCUCUUGCAGGAAACCCUAGAGCAAAAAGCAGAACUUUCCCAGGACCAUAGUGAGAACCUGACACUCAGCUCUCCAGAUCUUUUCUGCUGCUGUUUUACAUUGCUUCACUGCUUGCCUCCCCUCCCAUCAUACUCAUUUGCUUUCCUCAUGACUGCUACAGUCAUUCAUUGCCCUAGAAAGCAGUGUAGUAAAAUGUUAUCUGUGGUUUUAAUUGAUUUAAAUAUAAUUUAGAGGCUCAUGUUGCAACAUUUCCUUAUCAGGGUCUCCCCCUUGCCCUGUGCAUGCCUGCUUCCUCCCUGCCAGUCCUCCUGCUCUUCUAUGGGCUUUGGUAUCCAGUCCCUGUGGAUACCAUUGAAUGCCCUUCUCAGUAGGAUAUUGGCUUCUCCUUGCCCUGUUUCAUGAGGUGGAUUCCAUCUCUCCCCAGUAAUCCUCAUUUUUCAAAAAGGAUCCCAGGGCUGUAAUUUCUGAAUCAUUUGUGAAUCACCCAAAGGAUGCCAUAGCUACUUUGUAUGUGAUCUGACCCUUAAAAAAAUUUUGCAUUCUUGCUUUUAAAACUGAAUGACAUACCCAAAAGGUUUUGGAGAGAAAAAGCUGCAAGCUUUACUUGGAUGAUAUUGUAAUGAAGUAUUUUGACUUUUUAAAAAUGAAACAUUUUGGUCUGUUUGGAUUAUUUGCCUCAUGUUUCCCAACAGUGGAAGUAUUUUAUGAAUUUUUUUCCACACAUUUGCUCAUAACUUGAUGAAAUUGUGUUAUUUUGAUGCCUUCUGCAUUAUUAACUGUGGUCACUCAUUUGCUCAUUUCCAGAUCCAUCAGUUUUGGGGUUUCCAUUUCUGCCCCAUGUGUUAUCCACACUAUUUUUGAUAUGGAUACAGACAAUGAGCACUGCAAUCUCAAACCAUUUAAAACAAAAAGUAAGUGGGAGUCUGUGGAAGGGAGCUGUGGAAUUUGGACUCUUAAGUGGUAGAUGCGACACAAAUAUCUUGCAAAUGAUUUGAAAAACCCCGUGAACAAAAUAAGGUGCUGGUUUGGUGCCUCUGACUGAAUUGCAAGUCAUCCUCUAGCAUUUUUCUACCUCCUAAACUGCAGCUGUUGUUUGUUGUGGGGCUGCAGGAAUUUUUAGGGAGCAGAUUCUGCAGCUUGAAAUGAGGCAUUGGCUCCUGGUGCACACGGUGGAUCUUCCUGUGGGAAAGAUGAUGCCUGUUCCUCUGUCCCCUCCAGGACACCCAGGCGGAAGACGCCCCAUUCACUUGUGCACAAUGCGAUAAUUGAGAGGGAGUUUCCUGGAGCUGAAUGGUGCCUGCCCAGGGUCAGCAGCUGCUCUUCCAUCUUGCCUUCCUCUGACGUCCCAUAUGAACUCCUGGCAUCGGAUGUUCGAGGGAGUCCUCCAAGAUGAUGAGCCUUUUUGUUGCUAAGAGAUGACUUCCGGAGGAGCAAAAGUCAUUAAUUUGUUGGGAGUGGAUAAGGGACUGUGAGUUAAGACCAGUGGGCUGACCGUGAUCCUGGCGAGCGGAAGGAUGUGUGUGGACUUGUGUGCAAGUAGAAAAUGGACAAGGUUGAUGUUACUGAGCUUCAGCGACGAGGCCUGACCGUUCCUGUCAUUCGAGAUGGCUGUGUGGGAAGAAAAGUGCUGGCAUCAUCCCUGGAGCAUGAAUCCAUAUCCAUAACCUUCACCCUGGGCAGCUCCCUGCCAUGGCUUGUCCUCCUGCCUCUCGCUGGCAAACUCCCAUGAAGCUCUGAAAGCUGCAUCACCUCUUGAGAGCGGAGGUAAGAGCAAGUGUUGGACCAUGGUGAGCAGGCUGGGGUGUAAGGGACAUCC
This is a long non-coding RNA of Pseudopipra pipra, 2287 nucleotides long. RefSeq lists it as uncharacterized. The record is from RefSeq and is a predicted model, not a curated record. Lineage: Eukaryota; Metazoa; Chordata; Aves; Passeriformes; Pipridae. The transcript is spliced from 3 exons.